GUCUACGCCAUGCCACCCUGAACAAGCUCGAUCCCAUCUGAUCUCGGAAGCUAAGCAAAGUCAGACCUGGUUAGUAUUUGGAUGGGAGACCAUCAAGGAAGACCAGGUACUGUAGGCA
Molecule: ribosomal RNA, 118 nt
Filed under: Pteropus alecto (black flying fox)
Lineage: Eukaryota; Metazoa; Chordata; Mammalia; Chiroptera; Pteropodidae
Source: RNAcentral